This 100-nucleotide transfer RNA is filed under the name Infirmifilum uzonense. Its description in RNAcentral is "Thermofilum uzonense tRNA". It matches the Rfam family "tRNA". Rfam says of the family: Transfer RNA (tRNA) molecules are approximately 80 nucleotides in length. Their secondary structure includes four short double-helical elements and three loops (D, anti-codon, and T loops). Lineage: Archaea; Thermoproteati; Thermoproteota; Thermoprotei; Thermofilales; Thermofilaceae. The record is from Rfam by way of RNAcentral.
GGGCCGGUAGCUCAGCCAGGUAGAGCACCCGGCUCAUAAACAGGCUCAAUCGGCCUGUUUGGAGACCGGGGGGUCCCGGGUUCAAGUCCCGGCCGGCCCA